UUGCGUGUAGCGAGUCGGCAGGAACAGUAGUACCAUGUAGCGAGUCGGCAGAAGCAGUUGUACUCUGUCAGUUGCGUGUAGCGAGUCGGCAGGAACAGUUCAGUUGUACUCUGUCGAUAGCAGUAAUCGGUCGUCAGUAGUAGGGAGUGGACGGUUGUACUGAGCAGGCGUCGGCAUGCGUCGGCGGCGUGUUCUUCUCGCUACUCUGGUCACGAUUCAGGACGAUAUGUAUUGUUGUAGAAGGUACUGAAAACAGUUUUGCCAGCAGUGCCAGUACUGGACUGUAGCAGGUGGAGAUCCCAACAGAAGAAACAACUUACAAAGAUUUCUCGAGACGAGGAGCGUACAAUGAAGAAGUACUGUCUGCUGACGUCAGUGCUGCUGUUGCUGACGCUUAUGGUGGCCAUUUUCUCGGCCUCUGCCACGCAAGAGUCGGUGACGACGCCCAAGUCAAGGAGGAGGAUGAUUGAGCCGAUUCUCAGGUGUCCGGAUGGCACUGUCCUAGUCGGUGGCUCCUGUCGAAGAGCACUAAAGAUUAACAGGUGAUAAGACGUCAACAGUGAAGAAAAAUAUCAUAUGAAGAUCUAUUACAAUAUUCAGAUAAGACAACCUCAGACAUUAAACAAUUCCAUACCUCUGGUUACUAAUAAAUGGAAGAAGACUGUUGUAAA
Molecule: long non-coding RNA, 671 nt
Organism: Schistocerca piceifrons (Central American locust)
Lineage: Eukaryota; Metazoa; Arthropoda; Insecta; Orthoptera; Acrididae
Exons: 4
Source: RefSeq, a predicted model, not a curated record